GCAGUACCGUAAGGAGCUGUGGACUGCAUGGAAGAGAGAAUGCCGGAAUGAGUAGCGAGAUAAAGGUGGGAAUCCUUUAGGCCGAAUAUCCAAGGUUUCCAGGGUAAAGCUGAUCUGCCCUGGGUAAGUCGGGGCCUAAGGCGAGGACGAGAGUCGUAGCCGAUGGACAACAGGUGGAGAUUCCUGUACUGCGGUAUGACAGAACUGUGGGGACACGUAAGGAAAGCGGAAGCCGGGAAUGGAAAGCCCGGUGCAAGCGGGGUACCAGUCACUUUGGCAAAUCCGGGUGGCAAUGGGAAGCCGUGAUGCGGAGCGAAAUAAAGUAGCGAAGUCCGUGAGCCAUGCGUCAAGAAAAGCCGCUAUUGUUUGUAUCGCGCCCGUACCGUAAACCGACACAGGUGGAUGAGGAGAGAAUCCUAAGGCCGGCGGAAGAAGCAUUGUUAAGGAACUCGGCAAAAUGACCCCGUAACUUCGGGAGAAGGGGUGCCAACGAGAGUUGGCCGCAGAGAAUAGGCUCAAGCAACUGUUUAGCAAAAACACAGGUCUAUGCAAAACCGUAAGGUGAGGUAUAUGGGCUGACGCCUGCCCGGUGCUGGAAGGUUAAGAGGAGAGGUUAGCGGUAACGCGAAGCUUUGAAUUUAAGCCCCAGUAAACGGCGGCCGUAACUAUAACGGUCCUAAGGUAGCGAAAUUCCUUGUCAGGUAAGUUCUGACCCGCAUGAAAGGCGUAAUGAUUUGGGCACUGUCUCAACAGCCCGCCCGGCGAAAUUGUAGUACCGGUGAAGAUGCCGGUUACCCGCGACAAGACGGAAAGACCCCAUGGAGCUUUACUGUAGCCUAAUAUUGGGUUUCGAUGUUGCAUGCACAGGAUAGAUGGGACACUGGGAAGUGAUCGCUUUGGCGGUCGUGGAGUGGCCGUUGGGAUACCAUCCUUGCGAUAUUGGAAUUCUAACCUGCGCCUUUGAAUCAAGGCGGGGGACAUUGUUAGGUGGGCAGUUUGACUGGGGCGGUCGCCUCCUAAAGGGUAACGGAGGCGCGCGAAGGUCCGCUCGGGACGGUCGGCAACCGUCCUUUUGAAUGCAAGAGUACAAGCGGGCUUGACUGCGAGGCCAACAAGCCGAGCAGGUGCGAAAGCAGGCUCUAGUGAUCCGGCGGCCCCGAGUGGGUGGGCCGUCGCUCAACGGAUAAAAGGUACUCCGGGGAUAACAGGCUGAUCUUGCCCAAGAGUCCACAUCGACGGCAAGGUUUGGCACCUCGAUGUCGGCUCAUCGCAUCCUGGGGCUGUAGCAGGUCCCAAGGGUUGGGCUGUUCGCCCAUUAAAGCGGUACGCGAGCUGGGUUCAG
RNAcentral lists this ribosomal RNA (1342 nucleotides) under human gut metagenome. Its description in RNAcentral is "bacterial LSU rRNA". It matches the Rfam family "Bacterial large subunit ribosomal RNA", at positions 1255 to 2614 of the family's 2925-position model. The record is from RNAcentral.